UAUUUAUACAGGUAGAAAUACACUGUAUACAUUCGAUUACUGAUAUUUUGUAUUAAGCGUAUCUUAAGUACGCCAGCCGAGUGAAAAAGCAGCUUUUUAUAGCUGUUUUUUUUAUGUAUAA
Molecule: non-coding RNA, 121 nt
Filed under: unclassified sequences
Description: DUF3800-I RNA
Rfam family: DUF3800-I RNA
About the family: Actinobacteria, Firmicutes, Fusobacteria, Proteobacteria (1 example), Tenericutes (2 examples).
Source: Rfam by way of RNAcentral